GGGAGUACGGUCGCAAGAUUAAAACUCAAAGGAAUAGACGGGGACCCGCACAAGCGGUGGAGCAUGUGGUUUAAUUCGACUAUACGCGAAGAACCUUACCUGGCCUUGACAUAGAAAGAAUUUAGCAGAGAUGUAAAAGUGCUAGUUUACUAGAGCUUUCAUACAGGUGCUGCACGGCUGUCGUCAGCUCGUGUCGUGAGAUGUUAGGUUAAGUCCUGCAACGAGCGCAACCCUCGUGUUUAGUUACUAACAGAUUAUGCUGAGGACUCUAGACAUACUGCCUGGGCAACCAGGAGGAAGGUGAGGACGACGUCAAGUCAUCAUGGCCCUUACGGCCAGGGCUACACACGUGCUACAAUGGGGUAUACAAAGAGCAGCGAUACCGCGAGGUGGAGCAAAUCUCAUAAAAUAUCUCCCAGUUCGGAUUACACCCUGCAACUCGAGUGUAUGAAGUUGGAAUCGCUAGUAAUCGUAGAUCAGCGAUGCUACGGUGAAUACGUUCCCGGGUCUUGUACUCACCGCCCGUCAGACCAUGG
This 536-nucleotide ribosomal RNA is filed under the name uncultured Campylobacterota bacterium. RNAcentral describes it as "bacterial SSU rRNA". It matches the Rfam family "Bacterial small subunit ribosomal RNA", at positions 876 to 1407 of the family's 1533-position model. The record is from RNAcentral. Lineage: Bacteria; Pseudomonadati; Campylobacterota.